UGAUGGACAGAGGUUUUCUGUUGUGUAUUGCAUCUAGCUGAACACUUGCAGAUUGAUUAAAAUCUUUCCCUUGGAGAUGACACUGCACAAGAGGCUCCCUGUCUGCUUCUGCUUUGAAGUGCAGCAGUUUAUUUGAGAGCUCCCCUUGACAUUAUGCCUUUACCAUAUUUGAGGCCCCAUCACAGAGACUGUGGAGAAGCACUGCUAGGGGUGGCCACUCAAAGUCUGAACAGGAGAGCAGAAGGUAGUGCUCUAAGCACUAGUGCACUUACCCUUGGGCCGAAGAAGAAUGAGAUGAAAGAGAAAGAAAGAUGGUGAAAGAGAGAAAGCAUUUUAUCUCAGAGUGCAGGUUUGGAACUAUUU
Passer domesticus (house sparrow) is the source of this 363-nucleotide long non-coding RNA. RefSeq lists it as uncharacterized. Lineage: Eukaryota; Metazoa; Chordata; Aves; Passeriformes; Passeridae. The record is from RefSeq and is a predicted model, not a curated record. The transcript has 3 exons.